CAAGAGGCCGCGUCCCACCAGC
Molecule: microRNA, 22 nt
Filed under: Heligmosomoides polygyrus
Lineage: Eukaryota; Metazoa; Nematoda; Chromadorea; Rhabditida; Heligmosomidae
Description: hpo-miR-10135-3p
Source: miRBase by way of RNAcentral